This 253-nucleotide ribosomal RNA is filed under the name uncultured bacterium. RNAcentral describes it as "partial 16S ribosomal RNA". It matches the Rfam family "Bacterial small subunit ribosomal RNA", at positions 524 to 776 of the family's 1533-position model. The record is from RNAcentral.
UACGUAGGGGGCAAGCGUUGUCCGGAUUUAUUGGGCGUAAAGAGCGUGUAGGCGGCCAUACAGGUCCGUUGUGAAAACUGGAGGCUUAACCUCCAGACGUCGAUGGAAACCGUAUGGCUAGAGUCCGGAAGAGGAGAGUGGAAUUCCUGGUGUAGCGGUGGAAUGCGCAGAUAUCAGGAAGAACACCAACGGCGAAGGCAGCUCGCUGGGACGGAACUGACGCUAAGGCGCGAAAGCGUGGGGAGCGAACAGG